CCUACGGGGAGCAGCAGUCGAGAAUCAUUCACAAUGGGGGAACCCCUGAUGGUGCGACGCCGCGUGGGGGAAUGAAGGUCUUCGGAUUGUAAACCCCUGUCAUGUGGGAGCAAAUUAAAAAGAUAGUACCACAAGAGGAAGAGACGGCUAACUCUGUGCCAGCAGCCGCGGUAAUACAGAGGUCUCAAGCGUUGUUCGGAAUCACUGGGCGUAACGCGUGCGUAGGCUGUUUCGUAAGUCGUGUGUGAAAGGCGCGGGCUCAACCCGCGGACGGCACAUGAUACUGCGAGACUAGAGUAAUGGAGGGGGGACCGGAAUUCUCGGUGUAGCAGUGAAAUGCGUAGAUAUCGAGAGGAACACUCGUGGCGAAGGCGGGUUCCUGGACAUUAACUGACGCUGAGGCACGAAGGCCAGGGGAGCGAAAGGGAUUAGAUACCCGGGUAGUC
Molecule: ribosomal RNA, 446 nt
Filed under: uncultured bacterium
Lineage: Bacteria
Description: partial 16S ribosomal RNA
Rfam family: Bacterial small subunit ribosomal RNA
Source: RNAcentral